CCGUCGAGAGAGAUGUUGGUCAGGAACAAAAGAGCGGCUUGUCUUCGGCGGGAGUUCUCCCGGUUCCUCCUGUUGUAUUCCCGAGCGAGUGGUGCAGCUCGGGUGAAGCCCAUGGGUGCUCUGACAGUCCCUGCUGAUGUUCACUGAUGAUGGCACAGAGCAAAGCCAGGAGGGGAGAAGAGAAGCAGUGCAUCAUGGGUAGGUCAUGAUGCAGGACAAUGGUUCAAUGCAGCAUUGGGACUAAAAUGCAUCAGACUGUCUGUGUAUUCAAAUCAAAAUCAAUCUCUGCUUUUUAUUCAUAGCCUUUAUAUGAACUGCAGAAAUAUAAACAGUUUUCUUUUGUCCUCGCCUGCCACCUUGUGGUGAUAAAUACAUAUUACAUCCUUAUCAGACAGCAGUAAUGCCACAGUCAUCAUUUAAGGUUUUCCAUGAAAACACACAAUUUUAUACCGAUUUUAUAUACAAUUGCACAUUUAAUAAUAUUUAGAAAAUGUAGUAAAAGUUUUUUUUCUGGACGUGUAAAGUAUGUAAAGUAAAAAGAAAGAAAAAAAAUAGCAAAACUAGUGAAGCAAACUCAAAAUAAGUUGUGUUAUGUAUUUAUAAUGACAAUAACAAUAACAACAGCAACAACAGCUAUACCAGUAAUGUCUUUUGACAGAUGAUAAAAUACAUUUUUGUUCUUUAUUUGUCAUUAACAGAGUGUCAAUGAAUUUUAUUUACCUAACAAAAAACCUGUUUGGUUUUUGUAAAUUCAGUGCAGAAAGCAGCAAGUUCAAGGGAAAAUUCAAACAAUUCAAAUAUUUUUGACAAAUAAAGAUUAUAAAUAUAAUCCUGCCCUCUCAGCCACCACCAUGAAGAGCACCAGGGGAAGAUGGAGGAGAGGAAUAUUGUGUUAAAUGGGAUUAUUUAGUUUAUUUUUUCCAUCUGAGUGCUACAGAUACAGUUGCUUUUGCUGUAUUUUCUUUUUUUUUAAUUCAGUUUUUAAAGAUAAGCUGGAUGAUUCUGAUGUUGGAGAGUAAAUAUUACCAAUAGGAAGGAGAGGAUUUAGCGCAACUUCUAAUUUUAAAGAUACCAAUAAUCACCUCUGGGGGCAGUAGAGUAAAGCAAAUAAAUGAGCCUUGCGUCCUUUGGUGGCAAACUGAGAAAUCUUUCCUGAUGCUAUGAGUGUUUUUGAUUCUUGUCGUCAUUGCUCUGAAAUGAUUUUUAAAAUGUUUGAAAUUGACAAUAAACUAUGUUAUAAGAUUUGCAAGAAAAAUACAUGAAAGCAGACACUUUUAAAUGCAUGAACCUACAUGGUCUUCUGCAUCAUAUUCCUCAUUUAAUUCCAAGAUUGUUGUUUAUUUUCUGCUACCACAAACUCUGGCGGAUUCCGGACAAAACUUUAAAUUUAAGCAGCUUAUAGAGUCAUUUAUUAUUUUGAAGCGUAUCUUAGAGUAGUAAACAAACACUUAAUAAUAAUAUGUUCCAGAGGUCAGCUUUCGGCUUCGCUGCUACAAAAUAAAAUGUGUCCAGAGGUGCAAAAUAGAUAGAUUUUAUAAAUGUAAAACUAAAUGUUUUAUUUUAGACCUGUGAGCUGAUGAGUUAAUUUUGACCACUAGAGGGGAGUGUUGUUGAGUAAAUGUUUGAAUUGCGCUCCUGGUUUCAACAAAUCAAACAAAAAGCGAUUUCAUUUAUUUGACGUUUAUCGUGAGAAAACGGAUAUAUAUGCGAUGAAAGACGUCUAAUUUAUGAAUUUGAAUUAUUCAAAAAUUAUAAAAUAAAAGUCACAAUGACAUAAAAUUCGUAUUUAAGUUUCAAAAUUAUGAGAGGUCAAAUAAUUUUCAAACCCCUAAUUAUAUUGUGAGAUGCAAAGUCCGAAUUAUGAUAUAUAGUUUCAUAAUUACAAGAUUAAAUAGUAAAAGUUUUAAGUUACAAUUCAUUUUUGAGAUUCAAACUACAAGUUUCAAAACUAUGAGAAAAUGUCAUUUUUAAAAUUCAGAUCUCCAUAUUUAGGAGAUCAAAUAUAAUAAUUAUGAGAUACAAUUUCAUAAUCAUGAGGUUAAUAUUACAAGUUUCAAGUUAUUGCAAUGAAAUGAUAGUCAUAAUUAUGGAUAUUCAGUUUAUAAGUAAUAGCUUUUAAAGUUAUUACAAUGCAAUUAAAACGGUGUUGGAGAAAGUGUUGCAUUACAAAGUUCUAACAAUGAGCUAAAAAGUCAUAACUCUAAGUUUCAAAGGCAUAUUUUAUGACUCUAAAAAAUAAGUUUUUGUGUCAGGAAUGGUCUUCCAUAGAAGACCUGCAGCCUAAAAUAAGGUGAUAUUCAAAGUGGCCCCAGGGAUGAACAGAGGGUGUCGCAUGGUGGCAGCCAGUUGCUGUUUAAAAAUACUUCAAACUGUUUUUACCAGACUGGAUUCAUCAUGUCUGAGUAACAUGGUAAAAACAGACCUUCCUGCUUUACUGAAGCAAAAACAAAGCUUAACAUUGUCCUGGAAAAAAUGGGCUCUGGUGACACACUCAGUUCUUCAAAUAGCAUUACCUUUUCCUGCAAGCUCACUUACAAAAACCACCAGAGGAAGAAUCAUGGGAGAUUUUUUUCUUUAUUUUAAUGCAAAUACUUUUAGGCUUUUCCUUCAUCAACAACACCAUCAAACUUAAAGGCAGAUCAGCUUCAGAUGCUUCUUCUUUGUAAGGCCCCGACCCCCCACACAAAGAAAGAGAAAAUAAGUCUUUUCACUGUAAGACAUGGAGUUAAGAAUCAUUCUGGUUUUUUAAUCUAACUACAGAGAGGUAAAUUAAUUUAGGAUUUGGGGUCGCUUAAUUAUUUUAGCUAUAAAUAAAAGGUAACAGCAGAAUUCUGUGUAAGAUGAAAAGGCGCAUUCCCAAAAAACGUACAAAAGUACAGAAAAUCACCUCCUGCAUACAAAUAUUUGGCUCUGAAGCUGAAUGCAACACAGAGUCAGGAUCUCAAGAGACAUAUCGAUCCCUUUAAAACUCCUCCUGCUGCA
This is a long non-coding RNA of Poecilia latipinna (sailfin molly), 2982 nucleotides long. RefSeq lists it as uncharacterized. The transcript is spliced from 2 exons. The record is from RefSeq and is a predicted model, not a curated record. NCBI's taxonomy places the organism in Eukaryota, Metazoa, Chordata, Actinopteri, Cyprinodontiformes, Poeciliidae.